This 278-nucleotide ribosomal RNA is filed under the name uncultured bacterium. RNAcentral describes it as "partial 16S ribosomal RNA". It matches the Rfam family "Bacterial small subunit ribosomal RNA", at positions 28 to 307 of the family's 1533-position model. The record is from RNAcentral.
GACGAACGCUGGCGGCGUGCUUAACACAUGCAAGUCGAGCGGUAAGGCCCUUUCGGGGUACGACGAGCGGCGAACGGGUGAGUAACACGUGGGUGACCUGCCCUUACGCUCUGGGAUAAGCCUGGGAAACUGGGUCUAAUACCGGAUAUGACUCCAUGACGCAUGUUGUGGGGUGGAAAGCCUUGUGCGGCUAGGGAUGGGCCCGCGGCCUAUCAGCUUGUUGGUGGGGUGAUGGCCACCAAGGCGACGACGGGUAGCCGGCCUGAGAGGGCGACCGG